UAAAUCAAUUUAGUGACUUGACUACAGAAGAAUUCAGGAGGAAUUGCUGUGGAAGCUUAAUGUGUAGAGGAAAAACGACUCAUGAUUUGCCCAUACCUGAGGAUUUGGGAAAGAACAGCUCUCUGACACCUGAGAGGGAUCAGGUAUGACAGAGUAACAUCCCCAACCUCAACUGCUCACAGGAAGUCAAGAAGGAACUGAAGUUCUCACUUGCAUUAGCUGCGAAACAAUAUGCAGUUCACUGUUUGACUAAGUGUUCAGCUCUUUGAAAUGUGGGCAGAGUUUUUAUUAUAUUACGGCUGACAACCUUUUCUCCCUGAUUGAUGUACUGUAGUUUGCCAUUAAAUAUGGUGAACAUGAAGGUAAAAUGUUCCAGGAUGGGUGUUGUGUGACGAAGCCACUGUACUGCAGCCAUUUUAAUUAAUGUGAUGUGUGCUUUUAUCCCAGCCAGAGUAAGAGUCGUGGCUUGAUUGUAACAUCAGAAUAGCCUAAGAGUGAAGCAAGCACUCUGCCAUUACCUUGGGAAUCUUCUGCCUCCCGAUGUGAGAGGAUGAUGUCGGAGAGGUUCAACAGCAGGAGGUAGCCCAUCACAGUUGUCCAGCAUUGGCUGUGUAUAGCGCAACAUUGAACUCAUGUAGGAUCAACACUGUGGUGUGAACUCUGAGGCACACUCAUACUAAUAAAACAUUGCCAAUAUUUUUUCAGUUCACGCUCUGAAGUUCUUAAAGUGAUUCUCACGAGGAUCUUUAAUUUUUAUUUUAAUGAAAUGAAUAUAUAGCAUGGGGUCUUAAUAUUAAAGCUAAAUUUUAAAUUAGU
Molecule: long non-coding RNA, 816 nt
Filed under: Rattus norvegicus (Norway rat)
Lineage: Eukaryota; Metazoa; Chordata; Mammalia; Rodentia; Muridae
Description: long non-coding RNA NONRATT012200
Source: RNAcentral